CCCGUGACCAGAGCGGCGGUGGUGGGCGUUUUGCUCCUGACGGUGCUGUGUCACGCAAGUCCCUCCCCCUUGUUCUCCGGACCGUCUCCCUUGGUGGUCGUGACGCCCGCGGACGCUGACUCUGUCUCAGUAUGUCAAGGAACAUCGUAUGGCCUGUCAGCAUCGCCGGGGGAGAAUACCUACCUUGACCUCAAAAAACGUUACUCAAACUGUACUCUUGUUGACGGGAAUCUCGAACUGACCUGGUUGCAGGGCCGUGACCUUGACCUCUCCUUCCUGCAAGAUAUCAGAGAGGUAACGGGAUAUGUCCUCCUUGACCACGUGGCCGCCCACAACAUACGCCUUCCUUCCCUCACUCUCAUCCGGGGAACGUCACUCCUUCCGCCGCCCACGAGCGACUUCCAACGCCCACGCUUUGGGCUCCUGGUCGC
Molecule: long non-coding RNA, 431 nt
Organism: Penaeus indicus
Lineage: Eukaryota; Metazoa; Arthropoda; Malacostraca; Decapoda; Penaeidae
Exons: 3
Source: RefSeq, a predicted model, not a curated record